Molecule: small nucleolar RNA, 76 nt
Organism: Malurus melanocephalus (red-backed fairy wren)
Lineage: Eukaryota; Metazoa; Chordata; Aves; Passeriformes; Maluridae
Product: small nucleolar RNA SNORD26
Exons: 1
Source: RefSeq, a predicted model, not a curated record
CUGCGGGGAUGAUCACCCUGAACUCUCUCUUACUGAUAAAACCGUGAAGAAUCACCUUAAAUAUUCUCUGAGUGGC